This is a long non-coding RNA of Mugil cephalus (flathead mullet), 1156 nucleotides long. RefSeq lists it as uncharacterized. NCBI's taxonomy places the organism in Eukaryota, Metazoa, Chordata, Actinopteri, Mugiliformes, Mugilidae. The transcript is spliced from 3 exons. The record is from RefSeq and is a predicted model, not a curated record.
UCCGGCCACUGGGGGAACCACUGACCGCGAUGCUGCCGACCACUUCCAAUGGAGCAGGCGCCAUCUUGGAUUUACUAACCUUUGUGUUUUAAAAAUAACUUAUUUCACGUUAUUAGGAGAUUCUCCUCGGUCCGGACAAGCUGUCCAACAUUUUUCUGGAAAAUACUAAACCAGACCAGUUUCAAAGGCGGCAGCUUCUUUUAUCACCAAACUUCAAUCACACUUUGCUGCAGAGUACUGAAGACUAGACCAAUUAUGCGCGCAUGCAAAGCAAACCUGCCCGGAAUAUGGUGCUGCCAGCGUCCACGUAGAACAUGUCUGUCAAACCCCUGGUACGUCUGGAGCAAUGAAUGCAGUCGCAUACGGGCUGGAGCUCUGCCUGGGAGAAGAUUUGUCAUUGCACACAGUAAGCCCAGACCCCGCAAUGGAAUGAUAGAUGGACAUGCAAGAUGACUGAACUGUAUUGAAGAUGAGUGAUAAAUGACUUAAAGUCUUAUUGGACAAAACAGAGUUCACUCUUCGCACCUGAUACAGCCUGGUGGGCAGUUCAUAAUGGUAUCUGCUGUAUAUCUAAUACAGAAGGUGAACAAAGAAUGUCUUCUGUGUGUGUUCUGCUCAUUAUCUCAGAUAUGCACAAUAAAGUACAAGGACAUUUCAGUCUUUAGCUCAUAGGAGAGGAAAUAUAAGCAGAAAAUAUUGUUUGACCAGAGUGAUUUAAUUGAAUUUGAAUUGGAUGUAAUUACCAGCUUCUAUGGCAUGCGAUAUGCUUGUAUUUCACCAGUGGCAAAUAUACACACAGUGUGUUUCUGUGUGAUAAUGAAGCAAUGAAAGGAGCACCAGCAGAAUAGUUGUGAUAACCUACGGUCAAUAAUACCUGCAGACUUUAUCAGGUAUGCAUUUCACAGCUGAUGAUGACUCGAUACGGACUACUUUAAGGCUACAGGAGGGUAUAGACUCACCAGCCACUUUAUUAGGUACACCUAGCUAGUGAAAGCUUUGACCCCCUUUUGCCUUCACAACUGCCUUUAUUCCUCAUAGCAUACUUUCAACAAGGUGUUGGAAACAUUCUUCAGAGAUACUGGUCAUGACAGCAUCACGCAGUUGCUGCAGAUUUGUCGGCUGCACAUCUAUGAUGAUGAUCUCCCGUUCCACCACA